UUGGCUCGUCGCAGUUCUACUGGUUCCCAGUACAGCCACCAGGGGAGCCAUCAGUCCCAUCAUGACACUGUCACACUCACCACCAUCAAAGAGACUGUUCCUUUGCAACGCUCCCAGCCGGUUAUAAUAAACAAGGGUAUGAGGAUCUCGCAGAAACCAAAACCAACUCCGGGAUUUAGCGGCUACAUGAGACGGGUCUCUCACAAGGAGCCGGCCAGCUCACAGUACACCAGCUACGACCAGAAGUACGGCUACAUCACUGCCACCGAACUGCAGCAGAUCUGUCAUAGGGUCCAGUGGUAGUCACUAUCAAUAGAUAACUUUUGGAAUUUUCUAGCGAUUUUCAGUAGGUCUAUUAUAGGAUUUUAGUAAUUUUAAUUAGUUGUGAUUUCACAAAUUGCUCAUUACUCCGGCUGACCAAAGCGUUCAAAGUCUGAUGUAUUGCCUUCAGGUUUUUAUCGACUUUUUAUCCGUCAAAAUUAGAUGAAAACCUAGUAUAGUUAUAGUUGGAAAAUCAAAGUGUAGAUUAUGUAAAAUAUUGAAAAAUCAAAAAAAAUCCUUUAUACAUUACAAAGACCAAUAAAUAUUUAUGGACCUGA
Molecule: long non-coding RNA, 599 nt
Organism: Macrosteles quadrilineatus (aster leafhopper)
Lineage: Eukaryota; Metazoa; Arthropoda; Insecta; Hemiptera; Cicadellidae
Exons: 2
Source: RefSeq, a predicted model, not a curated record